RNAcentral lists this ribosomal RNA (480 nucleotides) under uncultured bacterium. Its description in RNAcentral is "partial 16S ribosomal RNA". It matches the Rfam family "Bacterial small subunit ribosomal RNA", at positions 28 to 507 of the family's 1533-position model. The record is from RNAcentral.
GACGAACGCUGGCGGCGUGCUUAGCACAUGCAAGUCGAACGAUGAAGAAAAGAAUUGAAGCUUCGGCAGAAAUUCAUUUCGGAUUAGUGGCAGACGGGUGAGUAACGCGUGAGCAACCUACCUCUUACAAAGGGAUAGCCUCGGGAAACCGGGAUUAAUACCAUAUAACAUUGCGACGAAGCAUUUCGAUGCAAUCAAAGCUACGGCGGUAAGAGAUGGGCUCGCGUCCCAUUAACCAGAUGGUGAGGUAACGGCUCACCAUAGUAACGAUGGGUAACCGGCCUGAGAGGGUGAACGGUCACACUGGAACUGAGACACGGUCCAGACUCCUACGGGAGGCAGCAGUGGGGAAUAUUGCACAAUGGAGGGAACUCUGAUGCAGCGACGCCGCGUGAGUGAUGAAGGAAUUCGUUUCGUAAAACUCUGUUCUAUGGGAAGAAAAGGACUGUACCAUAGGAGAAAGCUCCGGCUAAAUACGUG